UAUUCACUUACUUACUAUUGUGUGUUGGUCGUUUACUGUGAGAAAAUUAGAGUGUUCAAAGCAGGCGUUUGCUUGAAUAGAUUAGCAUGGAAUAAUAAUUGAAGGCUUUCGUGUUCGAUUUGAUUGGUUUGUUCAUGGAAGCAAGGUUAAAAGGAACAGUUGGGGGUAUUCAUAUUCACUAGUUAGAGGUGAAAUUCUCGGAUUUAUGGAAGAUGAACAAGUGCGAAAGCAUUUACCAAGGAUGUUUUCAUUAAUCAAGAACGAAAGCUAGGGGAUCGAAGAGG
RNAcentral lists this ribosomal RNA (284 nucleotides) under Blastocystis sp. subtype 1. Its description in RNAcentral is "partial 18S ribosomal RNA". It matches the Rfam family "Eukaryotic small subunit ribosomal RNA", at positions 720 to 1006 of the family's 1831-position model. The record is from RNAcentral. Lineage: Eukaryota; Bigyra; Opalinata; Blastocystidae.